Molecule: ribosomal RNA, 406 nt
Filed under: uncultured bacterium
Lineage: Bacteria
Description: partial 16S ribosomal RNA
Rfam family: Bacterial small subunit ribosomal RNA
Source: RNAcentral
AUUGAACGCUGGCGGCAGGCUUAACACAUGCAAGUCGAACGAGUGGCGGACGGGUGAGUAAUGCUUGGGAAUCUGGCUGAUGGAGGGGGAUAACGACGGGAAACUGUCGCUAAUACCGCGUACCAUCGGAUGAGCCCAUGGGGGAUUAGUUAGUUGGUGGGGUAAUGGCCUACCAAGCCGACGAUCGCUAGCUGGUCUGAGAGGAUGACCAGCCACACCGGGACUGAGACACGGCCCGGACUCCUACGGGAGGCAGCAGUGGGGAAGAUUGCGCAAUGGGCGCAACCCUGAUGCAGCCAUGCCGCGUGAAUGAAGAAGGCCUUCGGGUUGUAAAGUUCUUUCGGUGACGAGGCGUUAAUCACAGAAGAAGCACCGGCUAACUCCGUGCCAGCAGCCGCGGUAAUAC